AGAAGUUCGGCUUGGUUUCUCGGUGCAUAAUUCCGGUAAAGUCAUUCGAGCUGUCGUUAUGGACGAUCAGAAUCGAACACAAGCGCCGGAGUCCUUUGAUGUAAUUCACGCGAGUUCCAAAUGCCUAAUUAUAGCGUUUCAACGCAAACGCUCCGAUGCAAAUGAUAAACAGGUCUGCUUGUUGUGGGCUAAAAGUGAUGCCGAAGGAGCUCUUCCCCCUGACUGCAAAGUUAUGUUCGCAAGCUACUGCGAUUCACCCAUAUAUUUUUUUAACAAAGGAGACUCUGUGUG
Rhipicephalus sanguineus (brown dog tick) is the source of this 291-nucleotide long non-coding RNA. RefSeq lists it as uncharacterized. The transcript has 3 exons. The record is from RefSeq and is a predicted model, not a curated record. Lineage: Eukaryota; Metazoa; Arthropoda; Arachnida; Ixodida; Ixodidae.